RNAcentral lists this unclassified non-coding RNA (1045 nucleotides) under Actinia tenebrosa (Australian red waratah sea anemone). Its description in RNAcentral is "uncharacterized LOC116289985, transcript variant X2". The record is from RNAcentral. Lineage: Eukaryota; Metazoa; Cnidaria; Anthozoa; Actiniaria; Actiniidae.
UUAGAAUACUGAGAUCACGCAUGCAGGUGAAAGUGAUAGGCACACAAUUGGGUUGUGUGAGGAAUGAAGACUUUUUAGCUAAACCUCAAGGCAAUUGAUCUACUUUUCUCUCAUUGAUAAUUGACUUUUAAUCUGAAAAUAUUCACAGUCACAACCUUGGUCAUGAGAGGACUCUUAUUUCCAUCGUUGCUAUACCUUCUAUGGCGUACCUUUUUUGCCAUGGCAUCACAAUGUAAUGUUUUCUCCUCUACAUACGGUAAAUACUUGAAAAACAACUUGGUUCAGUCGAUCCCCAACACCAACCUCCAGAACUGCACGGAUCAGUGUAUUGUGGCUGGUUUCUGUAGAAGCACAAAUUUUCAUUUCGAAAGUAAGACCUGUGAACUGAAUAUUGCUGAUAAACAUGACUUUCCUAACGACUACACAGAGAGACAAGGCUACAGCUAUGGUGGAUGGCGAACGAAAAAGCCCGUUACGCAAUCUUGUUCAGAAGCAAAAGCUAGAAAACGAUCGGCCAAAAGUGGAUAUUACCUUAUCCGGACAAAGCGUGGAAAGAUUUUGACAGUUUAUUGCGANAUGGAAAAAUACGACGGUGGUUGGACUUUAGUUGUGUCAGUUUCAGCCGUUAAUAAUGAUCAUCUUCAAAGAGAAGAAAACAACUGCGUUGUCAAUUCAAGUUUAUGCGUUCAGUACGAGACCACCGCUGUUCAAGCGAGAAAACUUUCUGACCAAGACAUCAUUGAUAUCAUGUCAGAAUAUGGAACGUUCAGAAUUGAUGUGCUCUCUGAUAGUCCAUACACUGCGUUCUAUGAGAUUCCAAGCGGUGCUCAGAACUUUGAUUCAUCAUGCACAGGUCAAGGACCACCUGCUGGGAGAGCAACACAUGCAAUAACAUUAGCGUUGGAUACAAAAUCUAUGGCAGCGAAAUACAUUCUGGUAAGUUUUUGACGGACAUGAUGAUGCUGAGUGUGGAUCUAUAUGGCAUUCGUCCUUGCAUUCAGACAAACGAGCUUUGUAUGGUUACCGAGUCCAAGGUCAAUACGGG